RNAcentral lists this ribosomal RNA (120 nucleotides) under uncultured bacterium. RNAcentral describes it as "partial 16S ribosomal RNA". It matches the Rfam family "Bacterial small subunit ribosomal RNA", at positions 28 to 146 of the family's 1533-position model. The record is from RNAcentral.
GACGAACGCUGGCGGCGUGCUUAACACAUGCAAGUCGAACGGUGAACCAGAGCUUGCUCUGGGGAUCAGUGGCGAACGGGUGAGUAACACGUGAGCAACCUGCCCUUCACUCUGGGAUAA